AACGAACGCUGGCGGGCGUGCUUAACACAUGCAAAGUCGAGCGGGUAAGGCCCUUUCGGGGGUACACGAGCGGCGGAACGGGUGAGUAACACGUAGGGUCGACCUGCCCUCAGCUCUGGGAUAAGCCUGGGAAACCGGGUCUAAUACCGGAUAUGACUCCAUGACGCAUGUUGUGGGGUGGAAAGCCUUGUGCGGCUGAGGAU
Molecule: ribosomal RNA, 203 nt
Filed under: uncultured bacterium
Lineage: Bacteria
Description: partial 16S ribosomal RNA
Rfam family: Bacterial small subunit ribosomal RNA
Source: RNAcentral